RNAcentral lists this ribosomal RNA (676 nucleotides) under Francolinus levaillantoides (Orange River francolin). Its description in RNAcentral is "partial 12S ribosomal RNA". It matches the Rfam family "Bacterial small subunit ribosomal RNA", at positions 521 to 1494 of the family's 1533-position model. Lineage: Eukaryota; Metazoa; Chordata; Aves; Galliformes; Phasianidae. The record is from RNAcentral.
UCAUACAAGAAACCCAAAUCAAUAGCCAUCCGGCGUAAAGAGUGGCUACAUGCUAUCUACAUUGACUAAGAUCAAAGUGUAACUAAGCUGUCAUAAGCCCAAGAUCCAUCUAAACCCACCUAAAACCAUCUUAGCUCUCAUGACCAAUUUUAACCCACGAAAGCUAGGACCCAAACUGGGAUUAGAUACCCCACUAUGCCUAGCCCUAAAUCUAGAUACCCCACACACCCAUGUAUCCGCCCGAGGACUACGAGCACAAACGCUUAAAACUCUAAGGACUUGGCGGUGCCCCAAACCCACCUAGAGGAGCCUGUUCUAUAAUCGAUAAUCCACGAUCUACCCAACCACCCCUUGCCCAUGCAGCCUACAUACCGCCGUCGCCAGCCCACCUCCAGUGAAAGAACAGCAGUGAGCUCAAUAGCCCCUCGCUAAUAAGACAGGUCAAGGUAUAGCCUAUGGGGUGGAAGAAAUGGGCUACAUUUUCUAGAAUAGAAUAAACGAAAAAGGAUGUGAAACCCACCCUUAGAAGGAGGAUUUAGCAGUAAAGCAAGACCAUCCCUCAAGCUUGCUUUAGACGGCCCUGAGCACGUACAUACCGCCCGUCACCCUCUUCACAAGCCACUAAAACCAAUAAAUAAUACCCACCCAUGGCUAAAGACGAGGCAAGUNGUAACAA